AUAGCAGUGGGAAUCCUCUGCAGGCUCUGGGAAAACAGUAGACGCAAACAUGUGAAAUUACAGCACUAGAAUACAACGUUCUGUAUGUAUCUUGGUAAAUAUGAGUAUAUAAGUAAACUGAAGAUUGAAUACGAUUCAAAAUCUGCAUUCUUGCAAGACGUAUCUUCUGUAUGAAAUUUGGACAUUUGAGAUUUGCAAGGCAUUAGAAGAUUUUAAGAUUAGAACAUUUGAAGAAAACAGAUGGCCUCAUCUUAUUUAAUUUAAUUAAAUUUAUUUAGUAUGGAGAAGGGAGAAGGCUAACUGUCUCCAGCAUAAAAGCUCUGUAAAUACAUUAGCUCCUGAGAAGCCUGCAAUUUGAACACUGCCACUUUGCUUUUUAGAUGAAUUAGGUGUUGUCUUCUUUCAUUCUAUAUAAAUGGUGAGGCAGAAUAACUUCUGAAGUUCUUUUAAUACAGAAGGAUGCACAGGUAUUCAGCCUUGUAUUGCAGGAACGUUACUAUUUAACAGUGAAAGUGCAAUUCAGACCUAUCUUUCACCUUCAUGUUGUCUUAGACAAUCCCAAAGAUCUAUUUUCAAUUCAAAAAUAUCUUCAAUAUAGAGUUACUUAACAGUAUGAAUGUCUCCCUCACCUUGCAUGCAUGAUGAAAAGUAUUGCACAAUCUUGGAUUGUGAGUUGGACUGGGUUCAGAGUGUGCAGAGGAGCAUGUGUUAUGUUUCUGUACUCCUCGUUAUACCAGUCAACAUCUACAUGUUGACUUGUAUUUUUAGAUAACAACCUAGGGGAAGUCCUUGCAGCAGAGAAUUAUAGGUUUCUAUUGCAAUGGUUCUUGUUUCCUAAUCUGUUUGAGAUAAAUUUCACACUGUUCUUAGCAAGGCAAUGUGCACUCCACAGUUCAAGAUUCUGUGCUGUAGUUUUCUUGUAUCAGUUUUUCUUCAAGAUGACUGUAUGACUAGAUCCUGUGUUGUUGUUUGUUUGUUUGUGUUUUUGUUUGUUUGUUUGUUUUUCUCAUGCUUAUUCCUAGAUUCAGAAAUGUUAAGAAGAGAAGAAUACCUACAGUCUUCAAAUCUGAGCUCCUCUGUGUGCGGACCAUGGUCAGUUAACCCAUUCUAUCUGCAUUUGCACUGAAUCAGACAAAUUCCAGUGUUCCAACCGGCCUCUCCGUGGACCAUUCACAGAUCCUUCAUUUUCUCAGCCAAACUUAAAGGUAAACAUUCCUUCUGUAGAAAUGUUCGGUCCAGUCUGUAUAUAUGCAUAUUCAGCUUCACUUCUUUCAGUAGCUGGGGCUUUUUUUUGAGGAAAGUUAAGUCCCAUAAGAACAAAGGAAAUUUUGAAGGGUAGACUAUAUAAAAAAUGUUAUUAACAGUACACAGCAGAAAUAUAAUUUAAAUGCUUUCUCUGCUCAUGACAACAGAUUGCAUAUUAUAUGUUUAUUACCAUUUACCUGCUAUAACUGCAAUCCUCAUUUGUUCACAAUGAUGGUAUAUUUACAGUCAUGCAAUAGCUUGUUUAGGCCAAAUAUAGGUCAUUACAUUUCUGUGAAGUACUCAACACUUUGUGGCUUUAUAUGCUGAUCUCUCCUCUCUUGGCUUAAAUUAUUUCAUACUAACAUAUGCAAAUUUUCCCUUUCUCUCUC
Molecule: long non-coding RNA, 1634 nt
Filed under: Anser cygnoides (Swan goose)
Lineage: Eukaryota; Metazoa; Chordata; Aves; Anseriformes; Anatidae
Description: lncRNA (ENSACDG00005002750.1)
Source: RNAcentral